UGGCUGUAAUUGCACACCACAUUCUGCC
This 28-nucleotide non-coding RNA is filed under the name Rattus norvegicus (Norway rat). Lineage: Eukaryota; Metazoa; Chordata; Mammalia; Rodentia; Muridae. The record is from RNAcentral.